GACGAACGCUGGCGGCGUGCCUAAUACAUGCAAGUAGAACGCUGAAGGCGGAUCUUGCUUCUCUGGAUGAGUUGCGAACGGGUUAGUAACGCGUUGGUAACCUGCCUGCUAGCGGGUGAUAACUAUUGGAAACGAUAGCUAAUACCGCAUAAUAGCAGAUGUUGCAUGACAUUUGCUUAAAAGGUGCAAUUGCAUCACUACCAGAUGGACCUGCGUUGUAUUAGCUAGUUGGUGGGGUCACGGCUCACCAAGGCGACGAUACAUAGCAGACCUGCGAGGGUGAUCAGCCACACUGAGACGGAGACACGGCACAGAGGCAUACGGGAGGCAGCAGGAGGGAAUCUGGGGCAAUGGACGGAAGUCUGAGCGAGAAACGCGGAGUGAGUGAAGAGGGUUUUCGGAUCGUAAAGCUCUGUUGUAAGAGAAGAACGAGCGUGAGAGUGGAAAGUUCAGACUGUGACGGUAUUUUACCAGAAAGGAACGGCUAACUACGUG
Molecule: ribosomal RNA, 495 nt
Filed under: uncultured bacterium
Lineage: Bacteria
Description: partial 16S ribosomal RNA
Rfam family: Bacterial small subunit ribosomal RNA
Source: RNAcentral